ACAUGCAAGUCGAGGGGCAUCAGGAUCUAGCAAUAGAUUGCUGGCGACCGGCGCACGGGUGAGUAACACGUAUCCAACCUGCCUUAUACUCGGGGAUAGCCUUUCGAAAGAAAGAUUAAUACCCGAUAUCAUACUCUUGCCGCAUGGUAAGAUUAUGAAAGGAUUCCGGUAUAAGAUGGGGAUGCGUUCCAUUAGGCAGUUGGUGGGGUAACGGCCCACCAAACCUUCGAUGGAUAGGGGUUCUGAGAGGAAGGUCCCCCACAUUGGAACUGAGACACGGUCCAAACUCCUACGGGAGGCAGCAGUGAGGAAUAUUGGUCAAUGGGCGAGAGCCUGAACCAGCCAAGUAGCGUGAAAGAUGACUGCCCUAUGGGUUGUAAACUUCUUUUAUAUGGGAAUAAAGUAGGCUAUGCAUAGCCUUUUGUAUGUACCAUAUGAAUAAGGAUCGGCUAACUCCGUGCCAGCAGCCGCGGUAAUACGGAGGAUCCGAGCGUUAUCCGGAUUUAUUGGGUUUAAAGGGAGCGUAGGUGGACAGUUAAGUCAGUUGUGAAAGUUUGCGGCUCAACCGUAGAAUUGCAGUUGAUACUGUCUGUCUUGAGUACAGUAGAGGUGGGCGGAAUUCGUGGUGUAGCGGUGAAAUGCUUAGAUAUCACGAAGAACUCCGAUUGCGAAGGCAGCUCACUGGACUGCAACUGACACUGAUGCUCGAAAGUGUGGGUAUCAAACAGGAUUAGAUACCCUGGUAGUCCACACAGUAAACGAUGAAUACUCGCUGUUUGCGAUAUACAGUAAGCGGCCAAGCGAAAGCAUUAAGUAUUCCACCUGGGGAGUACGCCGGCAACGGUGCAACUCAAAGGAAUUGACGG
This 866-nucleotide ribosomal RNA is filed under the name uncultured Bacteroidota bacterium. RNAcentral's name for it is "bacterial SSU rRNA". It matches the Rfam family "Bacterial small subunit ribosomal RNA", at positions 53 to 916 of the family's 1533-position model. The record is from RNAcentral. Lineage: Bacteria; Pseudomonadati; Bacteroidota.